CAGCAGUCGCCGCGGGAAUACAGAGGGUGCAAGCGUUAAUCGGAAUUACUGGGCGUAAAGCGCGCGUAGGUGGUUUGUUAAGUUGGAUGUGAAAUCCCCGGGCUCAACCUGGGAACUGCAUCCAAAACUGGCAAGCUAGAGUAUGGUAGAGGGUGGUGGAAUUUCCUGUGUAGCGGUGAAAUGCGUAGAUAUAGGAAGGAACACCAGUGGCGAAGGCGACCACCUGGACUGAUACUGACACUGAGGUGCGAAAGCGUGGGGAGCAAACAGGAUUAGAUACCCCGGUAGUCCCUGUCUCUUAUAC
This 304-nucleotide ribosomal RNA is filed under the name uncultured bacterium. RNAcentral describes it as "partial 16S ribosomal RNA". It matches the Rfam family "Bacterial small subunit ribosomal RNA", at positions 509 to 807 of the family's 1533-position model. The record is from RNAcentral.